This 173-nucleotide ribosomal RNA is filed under the name uncultured bacterium. RNAcentral describes it as "partial 16S ribosomal RNA". It matches the Rfam family "Bacterial small subunit ribosomal RNA", at positions 1325 to 1500 of the family's 1533-position model. The record is from RNAcentral.
GUCGGAAUUGCUGUAAUCGCGGAUCAGCAUGCCGCGGUGAAUACGUUCUCGGGCCUUGUACACACCGCCCGUCACACCAUGGGAGUCGGUAACACCCGAAGUCUGUAGCCUGACGCAAGAGGGCGCAGCCGAAGGUGGGAUUGAUGACUGGGGUGAAGUCGUAACAAGGUAUC